Molecule: long non-coding RNA, 611 nt
Organism: Asparagus officinalis (garden asparagus)
Lineage: Eukaryota; Viridiplantae; Streptophyta; Magnoliopsida; Asparagales; Asparagaceae
Exons: 3
Source: RefSeq, a predicted model, not a curated record
ACACAAUAGACAACAACCCAUUCAUUUAAGCCAUUUGAAACCUAAAGACCCAAGUCCAAAAGUUCAAGGAGCCCAAAAAAAAAAAAAAAAAAGCCUAAAUUGAUAUUACCCGGUGAAGCCCCUGUCCUUUGUUCCCAAUUCCCAGAAACUCAUGAACAUAGAGGCCGGAGCAAAACCCUAGCUCAAUGGUCGUCAGUUCUCCACCGUCUCCAUCUCCAUCUCCAUCGUGAUUCUUCCAUCGAUGUGCCGUCGCCUUGACUACCGUGGCAAAAUAUGAUGCAAUAUGGUUGAUAGUGUCUAUUGAAAGCAUUCCAGUGAGGAAGAAGCUGCUGCAAUCAAGUCUGCCGGAAAGGCCUGGUACAAAACCAUGAUGACAGACAGUGACUAUGCGGAAUUUGAGAAUUUCUCCAAGUGGCUUGGCGUUACUCGGUAGAAGAUCCAUUAUCAUUAAUCUUUCUGAUCAUUCUUCAAAAUCUAGUUCAGGUUGUUUAGGAAUUUGUCGAGCGACGUGUGCAAGGGCACAUUUUCUGGCUAUUCUCUUUAGACUCAUUUACUUUGGAUAUUGUUAUUUUUAUGGGAAUUCAUAGCUUUUCAAAGAAGUCUUGCGUCCA